Non-coding RNA from Pangasius djambal, 66 nucleotides. NCBI's taxonomy places the organism in Eukaryota, Metazoa, Chordata, Actinopteri, Siluriformes, Pangasiidae. The record is from the annotation of a GenBank genome assembly.
GUCAUGGCCUAAUGGUUAGCGAGUCAGCCUUGGAACCUGAAGGUCGUGGGUUUGAGUCUCAGGACC